Molecule: microRNA precursor, 51 nt
Filed under: Hydra vulgaris (swiftwater hydra)
Lineage: Eukaryota; Metazoa; Cnidaria; Hydrozoa; Anthoathecata; Hydridae
Description: Hvu-Novel-6_pre stem-loop
Source: RNAcentral
UAGAUUAAAUGUAGGCGAUAUAUGAAAUAUAUCAUCUACAUUUAAUCAACA